This 119-nucleotide ribosomal RNA is filed under the name Lupinus angustifolius (narrow-leaved blue lupine). Lineage: Eukaryota; Viridiplantae; Streptophyta; Magnoliopsida; Fabales; Fabaceae. The record is from RNAcentral.
AGGUGCGAUCAUACCAACACUAAUGCACCAGAUACCAUUUGAACUCCACAGUCAAGCGUGCUUGGGCGAGAGUAGUACUAGGAUGGGUGACCUCCUGGGAAGUCCUUGUGUUGCAUCUU